RNAcentral lists this long non-coding RNA (348 nucleotides) under Vigna radiata. RNAcentral describes it as "long non-coding RNA (VRAD_LNC014742)". The record is from RNAcentral. Lineage: Eukaryota; Viridiplantae; Streptophyta; Magnoliopsida; Fabales; Fabaceae.
AACCAAAAAGAGGUUUUUAAUUAAAAUAAUUAAAUUAAAUAAAAAUGGUUCCUUCAGUUAAUUAGAAAUAUUAAAAAUUGGAAUUAUGAUGAAAAAUACAAUCGAACUCUAAUGUUCCUUCAAUUCAAUAUUUUUUCUUUUUUUGGAUUUGUGAAGUAACAUUUUUUGAGUUUGUCUUCCUUAUUGAACAUGCCCAAAACAGAUUAUGUCCCCUUGUGUUUGAGUCCAUAUAGGUGUUGUGUUGUUGUUUUUUUCUUUUACUUUCAUUAGAUCCAUUUAUUCCACUUUUGAGAAAAGAAAUGAAUCUUAAUCACAAUUUUUUUAACUUUUUUAACUUUUUUCAUUUUU